RNAcentral lists this ribosomal RNA (492 nucleotides) under uncultured bacterium. RNAcentral describes it as "partial 16S ribosomal RNA". It matches the Rfam family "Bacterial small subunit ribosomal RNA", at positions 30 to 507 of the family's 1533-position model. The record is from RNAcentral.
AGUGAACGCUGGCGGUAGGCCUAACACAUGCAAGUCGAACGGCAGCACAGUAAGAGCUUGCUCUUACGGGUGGCGAGUGGCGGACGGGUGAGGAAUACAUCGGAAUCUACUUUUUCGUGGGGGAUAACGUAGGGAAACUUACGCUAAUACCGCAUACGACCUACGGGUGAAAGCAGGGGAUCUUCGGACCUUGCGCGAUUGAAUGAGCCGAUGUCGGAUUAGCUAGUUGGCGGGGUAAAGGCCCACCAAGGCGACGAUCCGUAGCUGGUCUGAGAGGAUGAUCAGCCAAAAUGGAACUGGGGCACGGUCCAGACUCCUACGGGAGGGAGCAGGUGGGAAUUAUUGGAAAUGGGCGGAAGCCUGACGCAGGCACGCCGGGUGGGUGGAGAAGGGCUUCGGGGUGGAAAACCCUUUUUGUAGGGAAGAAAAAGAGGCAGGUUAAUACCCCGCGGUUUUACGGGACCCAAAAAAAAAGCCACGGGUAACUUCGGG